CGCACCACCUCCUUCCGGUGCACAGGGAGCCCCCCCACCACCCGACCUCCUCCUGGGAACACAGCGACCCUCACACCUUCUGCUAGGAGCACAGGCCAUCCGUGAGUUUUUGCUGAAGUACACAGAAAUGUGUAGUGAAUCCUCAACAAUUGAAGACAUGUUUCAUUUCCCACCCUGGGCACCAGCCAGUCCCCCGGAGAAGGGACCUCAGAAGCCUCACCAAUGGCUGUGCAGCAGUCAGACCCUGAGUGACUGCACAGAGCAGAGCUCUCUGCUGACAGCUGCGCAGCUUCCGUGAAUGAGAAAUGAGCCUUCACUGCCUGCAGUCACCAAGGCCUGGAGGCCUCUCUGUUGAAGAAGCAAGCAGACAGGUGGAGAAGGCUGUGGGUGGAGAAGUUGGAAGCUCAGUUCUGAGCCUUUUGAGCUCUCUAUUAGACGACCAAGUGCAGACAUCAAGCAGGAACUUGAUACAUGAGUGAGCAGUCUGCAAGUGCGUGAACUUUAUGUGAUGGAAAAUGAUAACCCUCCCCCAAAAAUACAACUCAGUAGAUAAAUUGAACUAUUUUGAGUUUAAGAAGCUCACUUUCUAAAGAGCAAGCCAUACAAUAAAAUUAAUGUGAAGAAAAACUAUGCAAAUUAACAUGAUGCCAUCAUUUGUAAUGUUAUGUGACUAAACCUUUCGAUCUCAAUGAUAGUUUGUAAUACAUUGGUUAGUUCAGAAAAGUGCUAAGGCACGGCGAAGCUGCUGAGGCAUCCCAGAAUCCUGCUCUGUACACUGUCAUAAAAAUGAUAAUAUUAAAAGCCACGAUCUUUAAAAUGAAGAUGACCCCAUGAUAUUUGGGCAUCGGAAUUCCCCAAGCUCUUACAAUUCUUUAAUUUCAACUUUGAAUGGUGUUUCAUUUUCAGCAACCACCUGCAUAAAUAAUUCAUUCUCUUUAAAGAUGCUGGGAACUAAGCAACUGGGAUAAUUGACAAUUUUGAAAGGAAGAAGAUGAAUGUGCAUGUUAUGGAAAGGUCGUGUUUCCUAUAAGGUUUUUCUCUCUGAGGAUUUGUGUGGUGCUGAAUGAAAAAAUAUUAAAUCAACUAAAAUAUUUUUCUUGAAAAUCUCGUAAAAUUACAAAAUAAAGUUUCUUUUGUGUGAAGUUAAAUAGAAAUGAAAAUUAUAAGUGGAAUAUUUAGAAUAUAUAAUGCAUCCUCUGUGUAGAUAAUUUUAAUCUAGUCCGGUCUUUUAAAGUCAACAUAGUUUUUUUGUUUCAUAUUAAUUAAAUAUAGAUGUGAUUUGUCAAAUUGAAAGUUUCAAAAUUUUUUAGAAAGAGACUGUACGCUGCUAUACAUAGUAAGUACAAGGAUGGUAAGUUAGCCUUAGGGGUGUUGGCUGUUGACUGGUGAUAUUAAAUACAACUGAUUUCCCCUUUGUCAUACUGGAGCCUUGUUCCAUUUACAAAGAGAUAACAGUGUAAGUCCAGCAAACCAGCUACUUACUUUUAAAUGAAAUUUUCAGCAUUUACUGAGGCCUCAGGUACCAGACAUGC
RNAcentral lists this long non-coding RNA (1532 nucleotides) under Homo sapiens (human). Its description in RNAcentral is "HSALNT0025791". The record is from RNAcentral. Lineage: Eukaryota; Metazoa; Chordata; Mammalia; Primates; Hominidae.